Molecule: ribosomal RNA, 492 nt
Filed under: uncultured bacterium
Lineage: Bacteria
Description: partial 16S ribosomal RNA
Rfam family: Bacterial small subunit ribosomal RNA
Source: RNAcentral
AGUGAACGCUGGUGGUAGGCCUAACACAUGCAAGUCGAACGGCAGCACAGUAAGAGCUUGCUCUUACGGGUGGCGAGUGGCGGACGGGUGAGGAAUACAUCGGAAUCUACUUUUUCGUGGGGGAUAACGUAGGGAAACUUACGCUAAUACCGCAUACGACCUACGGUUGAAAGCAGGGGAUCUUCGGACCUUGCGCGAUUGAAUGAGCCGAUGUCGGAUUAGCUAGUUGGCGGGGUAAAGGCCCACCAAGGCGACGAUCCGUAGCUGGUCUGAGAGGAUGAUCAGCGACACUGGAACUGAGACACGGUCCAGACUCCUAAGGGAGGCAGCAGUGGGGAAUAUUGGACAAUGGGCGCAAGCCUGAUCCAGCCAGACCGCGUGGGUGAAGAAGGCCUUCGGGUUGUAAAGCCCUUUUGUUGGGAAAGAAAAGCAGCAGGUUAAUACCCCGCUGUUCUGACGGUACCCAAAGAAUAAGCACCGGCUAACUUCGUG